Molecule: ribosomal RNA, 424 nt
Filed under: uncultured bacterium
Lineage: Bacteria
Description: bacterial SSU rRNA
Rfam family: Bacterial small subunit ribosomal RNA
Source: RNAcentral
CGGACGGUGAGUAACACGUGAGGAACCUGCCUCUCAGAGUGGGAUACCGUUUGGAAACGAACGUUAAUACCGCAUAAUGUACAUAUGUCGCAUGGCAUUUGUACCAAAGGCCGGGCAACCGGUCACUGAAGGAUGGGCCUGCGUCUGAUUAGCUAGGUUGGUGGGGUAACGGCCCACCAAGGCGACGAUCAGUAGCCGGUCUGAGAGGAUGAACGGCCACAUUGGGACUGAGACACGGCCCAAACUCCUACGGGAGGCAGCAGUGGGGAAUCUUCCGCAAUGGGCGCAAGCCUGACGGAGCAACGCCGCGUGAGUGAAGAAGGUUUUUCGGAUCGUAAAGCUCUGUUGAGAGGGACGAGAGACAUAAUCAGGAAAUGGGUUAUGGAGGACGGUACCUUUCGAGGAAGCCACGGCUAACUACGUG